RNAcentral lists this ribosomal RNA (147 nucleotides) under Chlamydia trachomatis. RNAcentral's name for it is "partial 16S ribosomal RNA". It matches the Rfam family "Bacterial small subunit ribosomal RNA", at positions 1390 to 1533 of the family's 1533-position model. Lineage: Bacteria; Pseudomonadati; Chlamydiota; Chlamydiia; Chlamydiales; Chlamydiaceae. The record is from RNAcentral.
CCGCCCGUCACAUCAUGGGAGUUGGUUUUACCUUAAGUCGUUGACUCAACCCGCAAGGGAGAGAGGCGCCCAAGGUGAGGCUGAUGACUAGGAUGAAGUCGUAACAAGGUAGCCCUACCGGAAGGUGGGGCUGGAUCACCUCCUUUU